AACGCAUGGUGAAGGCACUGUGUCAAUAAGUCCUUAUACCUCCUCCAUGAAUUAUAUAGGGUUUCUAAGUUUAUUUGAACAAAGGAAGAGAUAUCAUUCCUUAACUU
Molecule: small nucleolar RNA, 107 nt
Filed under: Gossypium hirsutum (cotton)
Lineage: Eukaryota; Viridiplantae; Streptophyta; Magnoliopsida; Malvales; Malvaceae
Description: Plant small nucleolar RNA R71
Rfam family: Plant small nucleolar RNA R71
About the family: R71 is a member of the C/D box family of snoRNAs containing the C (UGAUGA) and D (CUGA) box motifs. Multiple nearly identical copies of this snoRNA have been identified in Arabidopsis, and it is thought to function as a 2'-O-ribose methylation guide for 18S ribosomal RNA.
Source: Rfam by way of RNAcentral